This 1192-nucleotide ribosomal RNA is filed under the name human gut metagenome. RNAcentral describes it as "bacterial LSU rRNA". It matches the Rfam family "Bacterial large subunit ribosomal RNA", at positions 1271 to 2444 of the family's 2925-position model. The record is from RNAcentral.
UGCUGGAGGUAUCAGAAGUGCGAAUGCUGACAUAAGUAACGAUAAAGCGGGUGAAAAGCCCGCUCGCCGGAAGACCAAGGGUUCCUGUCCAACGUUAAUCGGGGCAGGGUGAGUCGACCCCUAAGGCGAGGCCGAAAGGCGUAGUCGAUGGGAAACAGGUUAAUAUUCCUGUACUUGGUGUUACUGCGAAGGGGGGACGGAGAAGGCUAUGUUAGCCGGGCGACGGUUGUCCCGGUUUAAGCAUGUAGGCGGAACGAUUAGGUAAAUCCGGUCGUUUUUUAACGCUGAGGUGUGAUGACGAGGCACUACGGUGCUGAAGUAACAAAUGCCCUGCUUCCAGGAAAAGCCUCUAAGCAUCAGGUAACAUCAAAUCGUACCCCAAACCGACACAGGUGGUCAGGUAGAGAAUACCAAGGCGCUUGAGAGAACUCGGGUGAAGGAACUAGGCAAAAUGGUGCCGUAACUUCGGGAGAAGGCACGCUGAUAUGUAGGUGAAGCCCCUGCGGGUGGAGCUGAAAUCAGUCGAAGAUACCAGCUGGCUGCAACUGUUUAUUAAAAACACAGCACUGUGCAAACACGAAAGUGGACGUAUACGGUGUGACGCCUGCCCGGUGCCGGAAGGUUAAUUGAUGGGGUUAGCGGUAACGCGAAGCUCUUGAUCGAAGCCCCGGUAAACGGCGGCCGUAACUAUAACGGUCCUAAGGUAGCGAAAUUCCUUGUCGGGUAAGUUCCGACCUGCACGAAUGGCGUAAUGAUGGCCAGGCUGUCUCCACCCGAGACUCAGUGAAAUUGAACUCGCUGUGAAGAUGCAGUGUACCCGCGGCAAGACGGAAAGACCCCGUGAACCUUUACUAUAGCUUGACACUGAACACUGGUCCUUGAUGUGUAGGAUAGGUGGGAGGCUUUGAAGUGUGGACGCCAGUCUGCGUGGAGCCGUCCUUGAAAUACCACCCUUUAAUGGCUGGUGUUCUAACGUAGACCCGUAAUCCGGGUUGCGGACAGUGUCUGGUGGGUAGUUUGACUGGGGCGGUCUCCUCCCAAAGAGUAACGGAGGAGCACGAAGGUUAGCUAAUCCUGGUCGGACAUCAGGAGGUUAGUGCAAUGGCAUAAGCUAGCUUGACUGCGAGAGUGACGGCUCGAGCAGGUGCGAAAGCAGGUCAUAGUGAUCCGGUGGUUCUGAAUGGAAGGGCCA